UACACCCACUAUCCGCCCGGGAACUACGAGCAAAAGCUUAAAACCCAAAGGACUUGGCGGUGCUUUAGAUCCACCUAGAGGAGCCUGUUCUAGAACCGAUAACCCCCGUUCAACCUCACCUUUCCUUGUUUUUCCCGCCUAUAUACCGCCGUCGUCAGCUUACCCUCUGAAGGUCUAAUAGUAAGCAAAACUGGUAAAACCUAAAACGUCAGGUCGAGGUGUAGCGUAUGGAAAGGGAAGAAAUGGGCUACAUUCGCUACUACAGCGAACACGGAAGGUGCACUGAAACGUACACCUGAAGGAGGAUUUAGCAGUAAGCGGGAAAUAGAGCGUCCCGCUGAAAUCGGCCCUGAAGCGCGCACACACCGCCCGUCACUCUCCCCGAAAACACCCACUCAGUUAAUUAAAACCUAAUAAUCAUAGAGGGGAGGCAAGUCGUAACAUGGUAAGUGUACCGGAAGGUGCACUUGGAAAAAU
Molecule: ribosomal RNA, 477 nt
Filed under: Hexagrammos otakii (fat greenling)
Lineage: Eukaryota; Metazoa; Chordata; Actinopteri; Perciformes; Hexagrammidae
Description: partial 12S rRNA
Rfam family: Bacterial small subunit ribosomal RNA
Source: RNAcentral